Molecule: small nuclear RNA, 22 nt
Filed under: Arabidopsis thaliana (thale cress)
Lineage: Eukaryota; Viridiplantae; Streptophyta; Magnoliopsida; Brassicales; Brassicaceae
Description: snRNA_14738
Source: RNAcentral
GUGGCCUAUCGAUCCUUUAGAC